GAGUUUUAUUGGGUCAUUAGCCUAUGUUAUUCUUUCAAUAGCCCUGUGAGAUCGGUGAAUUACUACACUCACUUUCAGAUGUGGGAUCUAAGGUUCAGAGAGGUUUCUCAACCUUCCUGAUGUCUUCAUAGCUUCCCAACUGGGUCUCUCCCUUCUGUACCCACAUUUUGAAGCUUGGCUCCCCAAUCCUCCACCAAGGAAAGGGGUACGUUCCCAUCUCUGACUGGAUUUGAUCAGGGAUGUGAAGGAGUAAAGUAACCACGGCAGAUAAGAGGCUGUUUAUUGAAUCGAUCUCCUUUUGAAGACAUCUGACCAGGCCCUUGUCAUCACCCAAUUUUUCCAACUCUUGACUGUUUUCAGGUGAAUGAGGAUCCCAGACGAGGGUGGAACUUUAUGACGUCAACAUCCGCUUCCGAGGGCUGAAGAUCUGCCUUCCCGACCAAUGCGCAUUACCUUUAAGCAGGACUCAAGGUUCUGCCCUGUUAAAUAGGAGAAUGGUCCAAGAUGAGCGACAGCAAAUAGACUUCAACUCAAGUUCUCCGCGGAUGGCCACCUGGAGCUCUAUGUUGAGAAGAAUUCUGAGGCUGAACACCAUGAUCAAUUAAUGAUGUCUGUCAUGGCUUCAGGAUGGAGAGAAGCUAUGCAGGUGCCACGUAUUUUCCAUUCUUUCUAUAUGAUCUUCAAGCUGCUCUUCCAGCAUGUAAAAAUUUAUGGUUCUAGUCUUACAAAA
Molecule: non-coding RNA, 730 nt
Organism: Equus caballus (horse)
Lineage: Eukaryota; Metazoa; Chordata; Mammalia; Perissodactyla; Equidae
Source: RefSeq, a predicted model, not a curated record